Molecule: ribosomal RNA, 791 nt
Filed under: Myroides sp. HZDC26-1
Lineage: Bacteria; Pseudomonadati; Bacteroidota; Flavobacteriia; Flavobacteriales; Flavobacteriaceae
Description: bacterial SSU rRNA
Rfam family: Bacterial small subunit ribosomal RNA
Source: RNAcentral
CUCUGAACCAGCCAUGCCGCGUGCAGGAUGACGGUCCUAUGGAUUGUAAACUGCUUUUGUACAGGAAGAAAUGUUACUACGUGUAGUAAUUUGACGGUACUGUAAGAAUAAGGAUCGGCUAACUCCGUGCCAGCAGCCGCGGUAAUACGGAGGAUCCGAGCGUUAUCCGGAAUUAUUGGGUUUAAAGGGUUCGUAGGCGGUUGGAUAAGUCAGUGGUGAAAUCUCAUAGCUUAACUAUGAAACUGCCGUUGAUACUGUCUGACUUGAAUAGUAUGGAAGUAACUAGAAUAUGUAGUGUAGCGGUGAAAUGCUUAGAUAUUACAUGGAAUACCAAUUGCGAAGGCAGGUUACUACGUACUUAUUGACGCUGAUGAACGAAAGCGUGGGUAGCGAACAGGAUUAGAUACCCUGGUAGUCCACGCCGUAAACGAUGGAUACUAGCUGUUCGGACUUCGGUUUGAGUGGCUAAGCGAAAGUGAUAAGUAUCCCACCUGGGGAGUACGUUCGCAAGAAUGAAACUCAAAGGAAUUGACGGGGGCCCGCACAAGCGGUGGAGCAUGUGGUUUAAUUCGAUGAUACGCGAGGAACCUUACCAGGGCUUAAAUGUAGAUUGACAGGUUUGGAAACAGACUUUUCUUCGGACAAUUUACAAGGUGCUGCAUGGUUGUCGUCAGCUCGUGCCGUGAGGUGUCAGGUUAAGUCCUAUAACGAGCGCAACCCCUAUUGUUAGUUACCAGCGCGUUAAGGCGGGGACUCUAGCAAGACUGCCGGUGCAAACCGUGAGGAAGGUG